Long non-coding RNA from Mirounga angustirostris (Northern elephant seal), 257 nucleotides. RefSeq lists it as uncharacterized. The transcript is spliced from 2 exons. The record is from RefSeq and is a predicted model, not a curated record. Lineage: Eukaryota; Metazoa; Chordata; Mammalia; Carnivora; Phocidae.
GGAGCUCUUUCAUCUUUCCUUAACCAGAAGCCAUUUUAGGCAUGAGGCUGGAGAAGGAGGUUUCUGCGGGAGACCCGUGUGGGAAUGACUCAUCGCUCGCAUCUUCCUGGCGCCAGGGUGGCUGAUAAGAGAAGAGAUGAAGUGCGGAUUUACAUCUUGUCUCCGCUCACCCGGAGGAUUCUUGGAGACCAACGCAUCCCUAGGCUCCGUAAAUGUACUUAAUACUGUGUCUUAGGCAAUAAAUGCAUUUUACUUUG